Molecule: ribosomal RNA, 468 nt
Filed under: uncultured bacterium
Lineage: Bacteria
Description: partial 16S ribosomal RNA
Rfam family: Bacterial small subunit ribosomal RNA
Source: RNAcentral
GACGAACGCUGGCGGCGUGCUUAACACAUGCAAGUCGAACGGAAAGACCCUGCUUUUGUGCGGUGCUCGAGUGGCGAACGGGUGAGUAACACGUGAGUAACCUGCCCUUGACUUUGGGAUAACUUCAGGAAACUGGGGCUAAUACCGGAUAGGAGCUCCUGCUGCAUGGUGGGGGUUGGAAAGUUUCGGCGGUUGGGGAUGGACUCGCGGCUUAUCAGCUUGUUGGUGGGGUAGUGGCUUACCAAGGCUUUGACGGGUAGCCGGCCUGAGAGGGUGACCGGGCACAUUGGGACUGAGAUACGGCCCAGACUCCUACAGGAGGCAGCAGUGGGGAAGAUUGCACAAUGGGCGGAGGCCUGAUGCAGAAGCGCCGCGAGCAGGAUGAAGGCCUUCGGGUUUUAAACCGCUUUCGCCUGUGACGAAGCGUGAGUGACGGUAAUGGGUAAAGAAGCACCGGCUAACUACGUG